UCCUUCUUAGCUCAGUUGGUAGAGCGCGUCACUAGUAUGUAUGUUCUACACCAUGACGAGGUCAGUCGUUCAAGUCGGCUAGAAGGAA
Molecule: transfer RNA, 88 nt
Filed under: Lentinula edodes (shiitake mushroom)
Lineage: Eukaryota; Fungi; Basidiomycota; Agaricomycetes; Agaricales; Omphalotaceae
Description: tRNA-Thr
Rfam family: tRNA
About the family: Transfer RNA (tRNA) molecules are approximately 80 nucleotides in length. Their secondary structure includes four short double-helical elements and three loops (D, anti-codon, and T loops). Further hydrogen bonds mediate the characteristic L-shaped molecular structure. tRNAs have two regions of fundamental functional importance: the anti-codon, which is responsible for specific mRNA codon recognition, and the 3' end, to which the tRNAs corresponding amino acid is attached (by aminoacyl-tRNA synthetases). tRNAs cope with the degeneracy of the genetic code in two manners: having more than one tRNA (with a specific anti-codon) for a particular amino acid; and 'wobble' base-pairing, i.e. permitting non-standard base-pairing at the 3rd anti-codon position.
Source: RNAcentral